RNAcentral lists this ribosomal RNA (468 nucleotides) under uncultured bacterium. RNAcentral describes it as "partial 16S ribosomal RNA". It matches the Rfam family "Bacterial small subunit ribosomal RNA", at positions 28 to 507 of the family's 1533-position model. The record is from RNAcentral.
GACGAACGCUGGCGGCGUGCUUAACACAUGCAAGUCGAACGGAAAGGCCCUGCUUUUGUGGGGUGCUCGAGUGGCGAACGGGUGAGUAACACGUGAGUAACCUGCCCUUGACUUUGGGAUAACUUCAGGAAACUGGGGCUAAUACCGGAUAGGAGCUCCUGCUGCAUGGUGGGGGUUGGAAAGUUUCGGCGGUUGGGGAUGGACUCGCGGCUUAUCAGCUUGUUGGUGGGGUAGUGGCUUACCAAGGCUUUGACGGGUAGCCGGCCUGAGAGGGUGACCGGCCACAUUGGGACUGAGAGACGGCCCAGACUCCUACGGGAGGCAGCAGGGGGGAAUAUGGCACAAUGGGCGGGAGCCUGAUGCAGCAACGCCGCGUGCGGGAUGACGGCCUUCGGGUUGUAAACCGCUUUCGCCUGUGACGAAGCGUGAGUGACGGUAAUGGGUAAAGAAGCACCGGCUAACUACGUG